RNAcentral lists this small nuclear RNA (31 nucleotides) under Phaeodactylum tricornutum CCAP 1055/1. RNAcentral describes it as "snRNA PTsRNA00011a". Lineage: Eukaryota; Bacillariophyta; Bacillariophyceae; Surirellales; Neidiaceae. The record is from RNAcentral.
AAAAAUGAUGAAGUCCAAUUGCUGACCGAAC